This is a long non-coding RNA of Xiphophorus maculatus (southern platyfish), 1205 nucleotides long. RefSeq lists it as uncharacterized. The record is from RefSeq and is a predicted model, not a curated record. The transcript is spliced from 3 exons. NCBI's taxonomy places the organism in Eukaryota, Metazoa, Chordata, Actinopteri, Cyprinodontiformes, Poeciliidae.
GCUGCCCAAACAACUACAACUGUUGCCCCAACAACUACAACUACAGGUCCAACAAAUACAACCUUGUUAACAUCGUCUGCUGCUCCCACAUCAAUGCUAACAUUUACAUCUGCAGCUCCUCGUCCUACAGAUCAAACUUCUAAUGGUUUGGAGUAUCUGUUACAUCUAAACAUGAAGUUACGAUCUUAUGGAGAGAUCAGCAAUGCAACCAUAGUUCAUCUCAUUGAACAGUUUUUCAGAGACCAGCUCCUUAAUGGAUCCGCCCACAGGGUGACUGUACGAAGCAUUCAACGGGUUAGAGUUAACCCAUAGACAAAAACAGCAUCUACAUGACAUGUUCUCUCUAUUAUUUAACCGCUAUAUCAAUAUAUUGGAAACAAUAAGUACUAAUGAUAUUUCAAGUCAAGUUUGAGUGUCUGAACCUGGAAUUAGCUACAGGAUGAUGUUUAACCAGUAAAUAUUAUCCAUACUGAAGUUGGAACACCUUAAAUUUAGGUCAGAAAACCGUCACCCAGUCUAAAACAGAAGUUAUUUUUGUUUUUAAUAUCAGUCUGGAACAGAAAAUCUGAGUUUUCCCAGAAUUAACUUAAUCAGUUUAUAAAUAACCUGCUUUCUGGAAAACCCUUAUGAAAUACCAAAGUUUGUGUAGAUUCAAGGUAACGUCUGAACUCAUUGAUUUUGCUUUUCACAAUUGACUAUGCAAAGUGUAAAAAUGUCUUAGUAUAAAAAUGUCAUAAAUCAAAGUUAUGUAAUCUAAUCAAAUGGUUAUUUUUUAUUGUUUCACUGCAGAUUCUAAUUUUGUUGCGUUUUUGUCGGUUUUGUAGACGUACAAUCAUUUUAAAACUCAUUUUGAACUAAAUUGGUUUUGUUGAUAACUUCAUAAUAUUUAUUCUAAUAUAUGUUUUGAUUGUAUUUUAACUUUUUCAGCUUUGCAGUUAAAGUACAAUUAAAGUAUUCAUAUGAACUGCAAGUCGUUUAGCUUGAUGUUACCUCAAUACAAAAACCCAGUGAAAGUGAAAAUAUAAAGACUUUUCUGAGCUUGAAAAGUCAAAAACGUGCAAGAAAAAUACUAAACAUUUUUGACUUUUGAAAUUUCCAAGAAAAAAAACUUGCGCAGUUGAAUUAAAUGUCAUCUGUGUAUAUUUAUUUUGUUUUUCUGCUUGGAUAGAAACAGAAAAUUAAAGAUUGUUGUAGUGUGUGGCAUG